RNAcentral lists this ribosomal RNA (200 nucleotides) under uncultured bacterium. RNAcentral's name for it is "partial 16S ribosomal RNA". It matches the Rfam family "Bacterial small subunit ribosomal RNA", at positions 8 to 213 of the family's 1533-position model. The record is from RNAcentral.
AGAGUUUGAUCCUGGCUCAGGAUAAACGCUGGCGGCGUGCCUAACACAUGCAAGUCGAACGUCCUUUCUCGCUUCGGUGAGAGAGGGAGUGGCGGACGGGUGAGUAACACAUGGGUACCUACCCCUCAGUGAGGAAUACCGGCGAGAAAUCGCCGACAAGACCGCAUACGCUUCUCUACACGGGGAAGCAAAGCCCUGCA